UGUACCUACGGGGCGCAGCAGUGGGGAAUAUUGCACAAUGGGGGAAACCCUGAUGCAGCGAUGCCGCGUGGAGGAAGAAGGUUUUCGGAUUGUAAACUCCUUUUAUCAGGGACGAUAAUGACGGUACCUGAAGAAAAAGCUCCGGCUAACUACGUGCCAGCAGCCGCGGUAAUACGUAGGUGACAAGCGUUGUCCGGAUUUACUGGGUGUAAAGGGCGCGUAGGCGGGAUAGCAAGUCAGUCGUGAAAUGCCGAGGCUUAACCUCGGAGCUGCGAUUGAAACUGUUAUUCUUUAGUAUCGGAGCG
Molecule: ribosomal RNA, 305 nt
Filed under: uncultured bacterium
Lineage: Bacteria
Description: bacterial SSU rRNA
Rfam family: Bacterial small subunit ribosomal RNA
Source: RNAcentral